GUGAUUGAUAAACAAAAGAAAUUCAGUUCUUGAUUAAUACAUAUGAUUGUUUGCAUGAUGGCGUUCGAAUCCAUGACUAAUCUAACAAAAUCUAUUGUUUGACAAAAAAAAAAAAUUUAAGGUUUGAAUUUUCAGGGUUGUAUUGUUUUUAAUUUGGAGGGUAUUAGACUAUUAAAGUGUGAUUUUAGUUAUAUUUGAAAGUUUUUAUAAAAACUGACAUUUAUGAAAUUAGAGUCUUAAUUUUGAUUAUUUAUGAUAAAUUCUCGAAUAUAAACUAAGUGGUUGAAGUGAAAAAAUAUAUUGGUUGUGUUGUACGUAUGCCUCAAAGAAAUUUUUUAUAGAGCGACAAUAAAAUCAGUAAUGCUUUACGACAUGGAAUGAUGAGCGGUCAAGUAUCAACCAUGCACAAAAUAAGUGUAACGAAGACGAGGAUUUGAGAGUUGAAUGCAUGGGAACACGAGAAAGAAUGGAUUUCUUUCUGGUAACAUUUAAUGAUUACGAUUCAGUUCACCCGGAAAAAAUGAUUGAAAUCCAAAGGCGCGAGCUUCAGCGGCUGUUGACAGAUUGAAUCCAAUUGAACCAGAUCUCAGCUCCCCAUUCUCUCUCUCUCUCUCUCUCUCUCAUACUAUCUGUGUGUGUAGAGAGAGAGAGAGAGAGAGACGAUCGUUGACCAAUGGCUCGGAUCUUCGAGCACUUCGUGGUGUGCGGGAUCGGACCCAAGAUUCGGACCAUCGACGGCGCCAAAGGAUUACACGGCUUCGGCACGUAUUACCAGACGUCUCUUCUCGAUCAGUACCCUCCGCCCAAUCACAUUCUCUACCCUCCUCCGCCGCCUCAGCUCCCCACCUGUGUGUGGCCGGCUGGUGUUUUUCUAAUCGUCAGGUUUUGAUUCCAAUGACGCCUACACGUUUCCACGGAGCUACCCCAUUGUUCUCACCGAGGGUGAUACGACAAAAAUUUAUGUUAGUUGCAUUGCUUUCCGGGGCACAGUCAGUGAGGAUAUUGCUGAAGCUAACUGUAUACCUGCAAAUUCACCUGCGUAACAUUGAUAUAUUCGAGUGCAAAUAUGAGAUUUGACUACAAUACUUAAUCAAGCAAGAAUUUAUAAUCAAAUCCAAUCAGGGAUCCACAAGAUAAUUCCAAGAUAUUAUUUAUUCAAUAAUAUCAUUGGGAUAAUUCUUUCCUACUCCAUCCAACGGAUGACACACCUUGGCCAACUGGAUGAUGAUACAUAGCGCGAGAUCCCUCUCCUCCAUGGCGAUCCUAGCUCCUAUAAAUACCCCAUUCUCCAUCAAAUUUUAGUAAGCUUUUGCAAUGCAAUUAAGCCCUAAACCUCUCUUUUUUUCAGAGAAACUGACUUAGGCAUUGAAGAUCCAUUGGCCAAACACCCCCCACCCUCACUCUUUGGGGGCAGGGCUUUGUCUUUGAUCACAAGUGUUUAUUUGUUUUGUAGGUAAAAAUUCGUCUAGGCCGAAAACGACAGAUUUUUGCUACCACAAUAUUCUCUUUUACUACCCUUCACUUGUAAGUGAGAGGUUUUAAGUUCGAAUCUUAUGAAUGACAAGUUUGAUAUCGGUUUAUUGUCUCAUCCAUUGGUGUAAACAUAU
This is a long non-coding RNA of Malus domestica (apple), 1607 nucleotides long. RefSeq lists it as uncharacterized. The record is from RefSeq and is a predicted model, not a curated record. NCBI's taxonomy places the organism in Eukaryota, Viridiplantae, Streptophyta, Magnoliopsida, Rosales, Rosaceae.